RNAcentral lists this ribosomal RNA (1044 nucleotides) under Chaetoceros affinis. Its description in RNAcentral is "partial Bacterial small subunit ribosomal RNA". It matches the Rfam family "Bacterial small subunit ribosomal RNA", at positions 366 to 1410 of the family's 1533-position model. The record is from RNAcentral. Lineage: Eukaryota; Bacillariophyta; Thalassiosirophyceae; Chaetocerotales; Chaetocerotaceae.
CGGCAGGGGACGAAAGUUUGAUCCAGCAAUACUAGUUGAAUGAUGACGGCUAUUUUGGUUGUAAAAUUCUUUCAUUAAAAAUGAUAAUGACAUUAUUUAAAGAAGUUUUAGUCCCGGCUAAUCUCGUGCCAGCAGCCGCGGUAAUACGGGAGGGGCAAGCGUUAUUUGGAAUGACUGGGCGUAAAGGGUCCGUAGGCUGUAUUAUAAGUUAAAUGUUAAAUACUAAAGCUUAACUUUAGAAAAACAUUUAAUACUGUUAUACUUGAGUUUUAUUCAGAAAAGUAGAAUUUUAUGUUGAAGAGUAAUGACUAGAGACACAUAAAGGAAUAUCAAUAGCGAAAGCAACUUUUUAGUAAAAACUGACGUUGAGGGACGAAAGUGUAGGUAGCAAACAGAAUUAGAUACUCUGGUAGUCUACACUGUAAAUGCUGAGUGCUGUAAUUUAAGAAUUUAGAUUUUUUAAGCUAACGCUAUAAGCACUCCGCCUGAGGAGUACGGCCGCAAGGUUGGAACUCAAAGGAAUUGACGGGGGCCUACAACAAGUGGUGGAGCAUGUGGUUUAAUGCGAUAAUCCGCGCAAAACCUUACCAGUCUUUGAAUAAAUUAAUUUAUAUAAAAAAUUUAAAAUUUAUUAAAAUUUUUUUACAGGUGUUGCACGACUGUCGUCAGCUCGUGUCGUAAGAUGUUUGGUUAAUUCCUUUAACGAGCGCAACUUUUAUUUUUAUAUUAAUUUAUUUUAGUUAAAAAAUUUAUAAUCUUAUUUUUUUAAUUUUUAUAAAAAAACAGUCAAUGACAAAUUGAAGGAAGGAGAAAAUAAAGUCAAGUCACUGUGGCCCUUAUAGGCUGGGCUACACACGUGCUACAAUGAAAAUUACAGAAAGUUACAAAAGUAAAAACUUAAGUUAAUCUUUAAAAAUUUUCUAAGUUCGGAUUAUAAACUGAAACUCGUUUAUAUGAAGUUGGAAUCACUAGUAAUCGCAAAUCAGAACGUUGCGGUGAAUAUGUAUCUUGGCCUUGUACACACCGCCCGUCACACCAUGGGAG